AUGACUUUUGAAGUUUGGUUAUUAUUUAUUAUAAGUUUUGCCUCAUUCCAGAUACUGAAAUUGAAUUCAAUUAUUUUCAUAUUAUUGGACACGGUGUAUUUGAAUCUUUUUGGUGUCUUAAUUAUUCAACAUGAUGACAAUGUUCUUCUUGUGCUUGAAUGCUUUUACUCUCAGUUGAUUCCAAAAUGCUGUUUUUGA
Molecule: non-coding RNA, 198 nt
Organism: Vicia faba (fava bean)
Lineage: Eukaryota; Viridiplantae; Streptophyta; Magnoliopsida; Fabales; Fabaceae
Source: the annotation of a GenBank genome assembly